RNAcentral lists this long non-coding RNA (952 nucleotides) under Homo sapiens (human). RNAcentral describes it as "HSALNT0308270". Lineage: Eukaryota; Metazoa; Chordata; Mammalia; Primates; Hominidae. The record is from RNAcentral.
UCUGCCGCGGCCGGGAAGUUCGAACAGAAGUCUGGGGAAGAGCCGGCGAAGAGCAAAGAGAUAAUACAGUACUCCCAGCUAUAGCAAGCGGCAGUUAUGGAGCAUGCGCAGCAGCAGGGGCGGCCGCAGGUCGCCGUUCAAUAAUACUCAAGGGAUUUGUACAGCCCUGUAGGAGACACCUCCAGAGAAAGUAACAGCUCUCAAUUGAUUAGCUGAGAAUAAACAGAUGCUUUUACAGCUCGCCUUGGCGGGAAGAUCUGGCACAAAUGAAGUAUCUAUAAGGAGCAGCAGAGUCAAGGAAGACACCAGACAAAUGAGUUACACUGUUUUGGACUCCCCAACACAACCCAGCCACCGGCUGAAUGCCACCAAAUUACCUUCUAGUUAAAGGUUUAUGGAGCAAACGAAUCACCUAUUCAAUAUCUGCUUGAAUUUCUGACUCAAAAUACAUCAGAAGCCUCAGGGGCUGGAUCCUGACAUGAACCAGACACCUCCAGAAUUCUAUCCCAAGCAAAAGAUUAUUUCAAGGCCAGAACUCACUCCCUGCUGGAGACUGACUACAAGAUCCACUGAGAUUGAUGUGUAACCUGAUUGGGCCCACAGUGAUGCUAGCCCCUUCACCAGAUGGAACAAUAAUUCCAGACAAGCCAUCAGAGCAGGUCACACCACUUGACACCUUCUCGCCCCCUUGCCUCUCCUGCAUUCCAAACCCCUCUCUUUAAAAUCCCCAUGUUCCCUCCGUAAACUGGGCAGUGCCAAUUGUUGGAAAGAAUUCUGGCACUCUUUUCCUUCUUAGCAUGGAUAAAAAGAUUCACCCUCUUUUUAUCACACCUCACUCUUGUUAUUUUGGCUUCUUUCUACAAGUGGUGAGCAACCGGGCCCCCUUUGCUGGUUAUAGUAUGAACUAUUUUAUUUUUUUUAAUCUACAAUAAAAUAAAAUACAUUCAUUAGA